UUGACCUCGGAUCAGGUAGGAAUACCCGCUGAACUUAAGCAUAUCAAUAAGCGGAGGAAAAGAAACCAACAGGGAUUGCCCCAGUAACGGCGAGUGAAGCGGCAACAGCUCAAAUUUGAAAUCUGGCCCCCCGGGUCCGAGUUGUAAUUUGCAGAGGAUGCUUCGGGUGCGGCGUCGACCAAGUCCCCUGGAACGGGGCGCCAUAGAGGGUGAGAGCCCCGUCGGGUCGGCCGCCAAGCCUGUGUGAAGCUCCUUCGACGAGUCGAGUAGUUUGGGAAUGCUGCUCUAAACGGGAGGUAGACCCCUUCUAAAGCUAAAUAUUGGCCAGAGACCGAUAGCGCACAAGUAGAGUGAUCGAAAGAUGAAAAGCACUUUGAAAAGAGGGUUAAACAGUACGUGAAAUUGUUGAAAGGGAAGCGCUUGUGACCAGACGUGCGCCGGGUGUUCAGCGGGCGUUCUCGCCCGUGUACUCGCCCCGGCGCAGGCCAGCGUCGGUUCGGAUGGGGGGACAAAGGCCCCGGGAAUGUGGCUCCUCCGGGAGUGUUAUAGCCCGGGGCGUCAUGCCCCCGCCCGGACCGAGGUUCGCGCUCUGCAAGGACGCUGGCGUAAUGGUCCCCAGCGGCCCGUCUUGAAACACGGACCAAGGAGUCGAGGUUUUGCGCGAGUGUUUGGGUGUCAAACCCGCACGCGUAAUGAAAGUGAACGCAGGUGGGAGCUUCGGCGCACCACCGACCGAUCCUGAUGUUCUCGGAUGGAUUUGAGUAGGAGCGUAGGGCCUCGGACCCGAAAGAUGGUGAACUAUACGUGGAUAGGGUGAAGCCAGAGGAAACUCUGGUGGAGGCUCGCAGCGGUUCUGACGUGCAAAUCGAUCGUCAAAUCUGCGUAUGGGGGCGAAAGACUAAUCGAACCAUCUAGUAGCUGGUUACCGC
Molecule: ribosomal RNA, 929 nt
Filed under: Dinemasporium strigosum
Lineage: Eukaryota; Fungi; Ascomycota; Sordariomycetes; Chaetosphaeriales; Chaetosphaeriaceae
Description: eukaryotic LSU rRNA
Rfam family: Eukaryotic large subunit ribosomal RNA
Source: RNAcentral